UAGGGAAUCUUCGGCAAUGGACGGAAGUCUGACCGAGCAACGCCGCGUGAGUGAAGAAGGUUUUCGGAUCGUAAAGCUCUGUUGUAAGAGAAGAACGAGUGUGAGAGUGGAAAGUUCACACUGUGACGGUAUCUUACCAGAAAGGGACGGCUAACUACGUGCCAGCAGCCGCGGUAAUACGUAGGUCCCGAGCGUUGCCCGGAUUUAUUGGGCGUAAAGCGAGCGCAGGCGGUUAGAUAAGUCUGAAGUUAAAGGCUGUGGCUUAACCAUAGUACGCUUUGGAAACUGUUUAACUUGAGUGCAAGAGGGGAGAGUGGAAUUCCAUGUGUAGCGGUGAAAUGCGUAGAUAUAUGGAGGAACACCGGUGGCGAAAGCGGCUCUCUGGCUUGUAACUGACGCUGAGGCUCGAAAGCGUGGGGAGCAAACAGGAUUAGAUACCCUGGUAGUCCACGCCGUAAACGAUGAGUGCUAGGUGUUAGACCCUUUCCGGGGUUUAGUGCCGCAGCUAACGCAUUAAGCACUCCGCCUGGGGAGUACGACCGCAAGGUUG
Molecule: ribosomal RNA, 550 nt
Filed under: uncultured bacterium
Lineage: Bacteria
Description: bacterial SSU rRNA
Rfam family: Bacterial small subunit ribosomal RNA
Source: RNAcentral